Molecule: non-coding RNA, 145 nt
Organism: Gossypium hirsutum (cotton)
Lineage: Eukaryota; Viridiplantae; Streptophyta; Magnoliopsida; Malvales; Malvaceae
Source: Rfam
UGUUAAAAAUUUCAUUUACUUGCACUAUAAAAAAUUGAUAGGACUGAUAGAAUAAUCAAACAAUAACACAUAAUAUGUCAAGUAUACCUCAUGCUGAUGUACAAAAAUCAGGUUUUAAUAGUAGAAAUGAAUGAAAUUUUUAACA